UGAGUCCUACGGGGCGCAGCAGUGGGGAAUUUUGGACAAUGGGCGCAAGCCUGAUCCAGCUAUUCCGCGUGUGGGAUGAAGGCCCUCGGGUUGUAAACCACUUUUGUAGAGAACGAAAAGACACCUUCGAAUAAAGGGUGUUGCUGACGGUACUCUAAGAAUAAGCACCGGCUAACUACGUGCCAGCAGCCGCGGUAAUACGUAGGGUGCGAGCGUUAAUAGGAAUUACUGGGCGUAAAGGGAGCGCAGGGGGUUGAGUAAGACAGAUGUGAAAUCCCCGAGACU
This 285-nucleotide ribosomal RNA is filed under the name uncultured bacterium. RNAcentral describes it as "partial 16S ribosomal RNA". It matches the Rfam family "Bacterial small subunit ribosomal RNA", at positions 333 to 610 of the family's 1533-position model. The record is from RNAcentral.